This is a non-coding RNA of Delphinapterus leucas (beluga whale), 262 nucleotides long. The record is from RefSeq and is a predicted model, not a curated record. NCBI's taxonomy places the organism in Eukaryota, Metazoa, Chordata, Mammalia, Artiodactyla, Monodontidae.
AAGCCAAGGAAAAAGAGUAAGCAACAACGUGGAGUUAUUUUUACAGUUGAAUAGCCAUGGACAACACCUUUAAACAAAACCAGAUAUUGAUGCCAAGUGGAAAUGGUUGGGAGAAAGUGACAAUUUAGUACCAGAAUGGAAAAGCACUAAAUUGAGUGACAUUAGAGAUUUACCAUUCUUCAGUGAUGAGAUAAAGAGAUUGAUACUCCAUGAGGUUAAAACCUGUGAUUUCUCUACCUUAUAAUGCUGAGUAACUGGGGAC